Molecule: long non-coding RNA, 1382 nt
Organism: Cyprinus carpio (common carp)
Lineage: Eukaryota; Metazoa; Chordata; Actinopteri; Cypriniformes; Cyprinidae
Source: Ensembl
AAAUCACAGUAACCUAUUAUGUCCAACUUAGUUUUCACGAGAGAGUGGGCGCGACCAUUUGUAACUUGAAUGUUUUUGGCUUCUUGUGUCAUUAGCUUCCAGUUAUUUUACCUGUACAGAAACAGCCCAUUAUUCCUUUAUCCCCACUGGGAUAGAGAAGGAAAACACAGUACACUGGCAGCUGGGUUUCCUGCCAAUUACUGCAUUUAAUUUGACCUCACUGUAAUUUAAUUACUAAACAAUUACCAAUCCAUUUAUUGUUUCCAACACAUAUAGCAAUAAGUUAAGAAUGAUUAAUAAAGCUAGUAAUAAAGAUGAGCUGUUAACUGUUGAUAACAGCUCGGUUACUAUGGGGAAUGUCCGCUCUCUCGUCAACAAGGCAGAUGAAUUAACAGCUUGUUUGAAGUUCGAUCCCACGUUUCGGCAGACCAGUUUACUCUGUCUUUCUGAGACGUGGCUGUCUGACAGGAUACCUGAUUCCCAUGUGGAGAUGGAAGGUUUUGCACUUCACAGGAUGGACAGAGAUCAAGCAAGUACGGGUAAGAAGCAAGGUGGAGGUGUCUGUCUGUAUGUGAACAACCGCUGGUGUCAUACUCAACAUGUUACGGUAAAAGAAAGAGUUUGUGACCCGAAUAUCGAGCUCAUUGCAGUGAGUUGUAGACCUUACUACCUACCCAGGGAGUUCUCCCAUGUUAUUGUCAUGGUGGUGUAUAUCCCACCAUCGGGAAAUGGGAAGUGUGCCAUUGAGACAAUUUCGAGAAUCACGCAUGACUUACAGCGCUCCUCUCCAGAUGCGCUGGUUAUUUUGAACGGGGACUUUAAUCACUGCACUCUCUCUACCACCUUACCAUCUUUUAAACAAAUGGUGACGUGUCCUACGAGGGGUGACAAUGUUAUUGACUUGUUUUAUACAAAUGUUAAGGAUGGCUAUGUUGCUAAAUUGCUUCCUCCGCUGGGUAAAUCAGACCAUAACCUGAUAAACUUGACUUCCAAAUAUUCAACGGUGAUACGUAAACAGCCGAUUACGUUAAAGACUGUGCGCGUCUGUUCAGAUGAUGCUUGUGAAACACUAAAGGGGUGCUUUGAAUGCACCGACUGGUCUGUGUUUUUUGAUGGAGACAGUGAUUUGGACAGUAUCUCUGACAAAGUGACUUGUUAUAUUAAUUAUUGUGUCGAGGCUGUAAUUCCGUGUAAACAAAUCAAAAUCUUUCCCAAUAAUAAACCAUGGGUCACCAGAGAAGUUAAAGCUGCUAUUAAUAAGAAGAAAGCAGCCUUUUAUAGUGGUGAUAAAGAAAGGAUUAAAGAUGCCCAAAGAGAGUUGAAAGUCAUUAUCAGACAGGGCAAACAAAAAUAUAAGGAAAGUGUUGAAGNNNNNNNNNNNN